RNAcentral lists this ribosomal RNA (206 nucleotides) under uncultured bacterium. Its description in RNAcentral is "partial 16S ribosomal RNA". It matches the Rfam family "Bacterial small subunit ribosomal RNA", at positions 568 to 774 of the family's 1533-position model. The record is from RNAcentral.
UUCGUAGGUGGCUUGCUAAGUCAGACGUGAAAUCCCUCGGCUCAACCGGGGAACUGCGUCUGAGACUGGCGAGCUUGAGUGCAGGAGAGGAACGCAGAAUUCCAGGUGUAGCGGUGAAAUGCGUAGAUAUCUGGAGGAAUACCGGUGGCGAAGGCGGCGUUCUGGACUGCAACUGACACUGAGGAACGAAAGCCAGGGAGCAAACG